RNAcentral lists this ribosomal RNA (2475 nucleotides) under Campylobacter jejuni. RNAcentral describes it as "partial 23S ribosomal RNA". It matches the Rfam family "Bacterial large subunit ribosomal RNA", at positions 598 to 2925 of the family's 2925-position model. Lineage: Bacteria; Pseudomonadati; Campylobacterota; Epsilonproteobacteria; Campylobacterales; Campylobacteraceae. The record is from RNAcentral.
GGACUGCCUUUUGCAUAAUGAGCCUGCGAGUUGUGGUGUCUGGCAAGGUUAAGCAAACGCGAAGCCGUAGCGAAAGCGAGUCUGAAUAGGGCGCUUAGUCAGAUGCUGCAGACCCGAAACGAAGUGAUCUAUCCAUGAGCAAGUUGAAGCUAGUGUAAGAACUAGUGGAGGACUGAACCCAUAGGCGUUGAAAAGCCCCGGGAUGACUUGUGGAUAGGGGUGAAAGGCCAAUCAAACUUCGUGAUAGCUGGUUCUCUCCGAAAUAUAUUUAGGUAUAGCGUUGUGUCGUAAUAUAAGGGGGUAGAGCACUGAAUGGGCUAGGGCAUACACCAAUGUACCAAACCCUAUCAAACUCCGAAUACCUUAUAUGUAAUCACAGCAGUCAGGCGGCGAGUGAUAAAAUCCGUCGUCAAGAGGGAAACAACCCAGACUACCAGCUAAGGUCCCUAAAUCUUACUUAAGUGGAAAACGAUGUGAAGUUACUUAAACAACCAGGAGGUUGGCUUAGAAGCAGCCAUCCUUUAAAGAAAGCGUAAUAGCUCACUGGUCUAGUGAUUUUGCGCGGAAAAUAUAACGGGGCUAAAGUAAGUACCGAAGCUGUAGACUUGCACACAACUUAGAUUAUUUAAGUUUAGAAUAUGAGAAACUAAGUUAUAUGUUUAGUUAUAUUUUUACUGAUUUUUAUAGAGUAAAGAUAGAAAUAAAACUUAGUAAAAUCAGUAAAAAUAUUCUUAGACUAAAGUUAAGUAGUUUAAGUUGUGUGCAAGUGGUAGGAGAGCGUUCUAUUUGCGUCGAAGGUAUACCGGUAAGGAGUGCUGGAGCGAAUAGAAGUGAGCAUGCAGGCAUGAGUAGCGAUAAUUAAUGUGAGAAUCAUUAACGCCGUAAACCCAAGGUUUCCUACGCGAUGCUCGUCAUCGUAGGGUUAGUCGGGUCCUAAGUCGAGUCCGAAAGGGGUAGACGAUGGCAAAUUGGUUAAUAUUCCAAUACCAACAUUAGUGUGCGAUGGAAGGACGCUUAGGGCUAAGGGGGCUAGCGGAUGGAAGUGCUAGUCUAAGGUCGUAGGAGGUUAUACAGGCAAAUCCGUAUAACAAUACUCCGAGAACUGAAAGGCUUUUUGAAGUCUUCGGAUGGAUAGAAGAACCCCUGAUGCCGUCGAGCCAAGAAAAGUUUCUAAGUUUAGCUAAUGUUGCCCGUACCGUAAACCGACACAGGUGGGUGGGAUGAGUAUUCUAAGGCGCGUGGAAGAACUCUCUUUAAGGAACUCUGCAAAAUAGCACCGUAUCUUCGGUAUAAGGUGUGGUUAGCUUUGUAUUAGGAUUUACUCCGAAAGCAAGGAAACUUACAACAAAGAGUCCCUCCCGACUGUUUACCAAAAACACAGCACUCUGCUAACUCGUAAGAGGAUGUAUAGGGUGUGACGCCUGCCCGGUGCUCGAAGGUUAAUUGAUGGGGUUAGCAUUAGCGAAGCUCUUGAUCGAAGCCCGAGUAAACGGCGGCCGUAACUAUAACGGUCCUAAGGUAGCGAAAUUCCUUGUCGGUUAAAUACCGACCUGCAUGAAUGGCGUAACGAGAUGGGAGCUGUCUCAAAGAGGGAUCCAGUGAAAUUGUAGUGGAGGUGAAAAUUCCUCCUACCCGCGGCAAGACGGAAAGACCCCGUGGACCUUUACUACAGCUUGACACUGCUACUUGGAUAAGAAUGUGCAGGAUAGGUGGGAGGCUUUGAGUAUAUGACGCCAGUUGUAUAUGAGCCAUUGUUGAGAUACCACUCUUUCUUAUUUGGGUAGCUAACCAGCUUGAGUUAUCCUCAAGUGGGACAAUGUCUGGUGGGUAGUUUGACUGGGGCGGUCGCCUCCCAAAUAAUAACGGAGGCUUACAAAGGUUGGCUCAGAACGGUUGGAAAUCGUUCGUAGAGUAUAAAGGUAUAAGCCAGCUUAACUGCAAGACAUACAAGUCAAGCAGAGACGAAAGUCGGUCUUAGUGAUCCGGUGGUUCUGUGUGGAAGGGCCAUCGCUCAAAGGAUAAAAGGUACCCCGGGGAUAACAGGCUGAUCUCCCCCAAGAGCUCACAUCGACGGGGAGGUUUGGCACCUCGAUGUCGGCUCAUCGCAUCCUGGGGCUGGAGCAGGUCCCAAGGGUAUGGCUGUUCGCCAUUUAAAGCGGUACGCGAGCUGGGUUCAGAACGUCGUGAGACAGUUCGGUCCCUAUCUGCCGUGGGCGUAAGAAGAUUGAAGAGAUUUGACCCUAGUACGAGAGGACCGGGUUGAACAAACCACUGGUGUAGCUGUUGUUCUGCCAAGAGCAUCGCAGCGUAGCUAAGUUUGGAAAGGAUAAACGCUGAAAGCAUCUAAGCGUGAAGCCAACUCUAAGAUGAAUCUUCUCUAAGCUCUCUAGAAGACUACUAGUUUGAUAGGCUGGGUGUGUAAUGGAUGAAAGUCCUUUAGCUGACCAGUACUAAUAGAGCGUUUGGCUUAUCUUU